RNAcentral lists this ribosomal RNA (55 nucleotides) under Chaetocarpus echinocarpus. Its description in RNAcentral is "partial 5.8S ribosomal RNA". The record is from RNAcentral. Lineage: Eukaryota; Viridiplantae; Streptophyta; Magnoliopsida; Malpighiales; Euphorbiaceae.
GCAAGUUGCGCCCGAAAGCCUCACGGCCGAGGGCACGCCUGCCUGGGUGUCACGC